AGCGAACGCUGGCGGCAGGCUUAACACAUGCAAGUCGAGCGGGCAUCCUUGUGAUGUCAGCGGCAGACGGGUGAGUAACGCGUGGGAACGUGCCCUUCGGUUCGGAAUAACUCAGGGAAACUUGAGCUAAUACCGGAUACGUGCGAGAGCAGAAAGGUUUAUCUGCCGAAGGAUCGGCCCGCGUCUGAUUAGCUAGUUGGUGAGGUUAUGGCUCACCAAGGCGACGAUCAGUAGCUGGUCUGAGAGGAUGAUCAGCCACACUGGGACUGAGACACGGCCCAGACUCCUACGGGAGGCAGCAGUGGGGAAUAUUGGACAAUGGGGGCAACCCUGAUCCAGCCAUGCCGCGUGAGUGAUGACGGCCUUAGGGUUGUAAAGCUCUUUUCUUCGGGACGAUAAUGACGGUACCGGAGGAAUAAGCCCCGGCUAACUUCGU
This 436-nucleotide ribosomal RNA is filed under the name uncultured bacterium. RNAcentral's name for it is "partial 16S ribosomal RNA". It matches the Rfam family "Bacterial small subunit ribosomal RNA", at positions 29 to 506 of the family's 1533-position model. The record is from RNAcentral.